Molecule: transfer RNA, 84 nt
Filed under: Lachnospiraceae bacterium
Lineage: Bacteria; Bacillati; Bacillota; Clostridia; Lachnospirales; Lachnospiraceae
Description: tRNA-Tyr
Rfam family: tRNA
About the family: Transfer RNA (tRNA) molecules are approximately 80 nucleotides in length. Their secondary structure includes four short double-helical elements and three loops (D, anti-codon, and T loops). Further hydrogen bonds mediate the characteristic L-shaped molecular structure. tRNAs have two regions of fundamental functional importance: the anti-codon, which is responsible for specific mRNA codon recognition, and the 3' end, to which the tRNAs corresponding amino acid is attached (by aminoacyl-tRNA synthetases). tRNAs cope with the degeneracy of the genetic code in two manners: having more than one tRNA (with a specific anti-codon) for a particular amino acid; and 'wobble' base-pairing, i.e. permitting non-standard base-pairing at the 3rd anti-codon position.
Source: RNAcentral
GGGCGAAUAUCCCGUAAUUGGCAGCGGUACUGUCUGUAAAACAGUUGGCUUCGGCUUCUGAAGGGUCAAGUCCUUCUUCGCCCA